UGCAGCGACGCCGCGUGAGGGAUGACGGCCUUCGGGUUGUAAACCNCUUUCAGUAGGGAAGAAGCGAAAGUGACGGUACCUGCAGAAGAAGCGCCGGCUAACUACGUGCCAGCAGCCGCGGUAAUACGUAGGGCGCAAGCGUUAUCCGGAAUUAUUGGGCGUAAAGAGCUCGUAGGCGGUUUGUCGCGUCUGCCGUGAAAGUCCGGGGCUCAACUCCGGAUCUGCGGUGGGUACGGGCAGACUAGAGUGAUGUAGGGGAGACUGGAAUUCCUGGUGUAGCGGUGAAAUGCGCAGAUAUCAGGAGGAACACCGAUGGCGAAGGCAGGUCUCUGGGCAUUAACUGACGCUGAGGAGCGAAAGCAUGGGGAGCGAACAGGAUUAGAUACCCUGGUAGUCCAUGCCGUAAACGUUGGGCACUAGGUGUGGGGGACAUUCCACGUUUUCCGCGCCGUAGCUAACGCAUUAAGUGCCCCGCCUGGGGAGUACGGCCGCAAGGCUAAAACUCAAAGGAAUUGACGGGGGCCCGCACAAGCGGCGGAGCAUGCGGAUUAAUUCGAUGCAACGCGAAGAACCUUACCAAGGCUUGACAUGGACCGGACCGCCGCAGAAAUGUGGUUUCUCCUUUUGGGGCCGGUUCACAGGUGGUGCAUGGUUGUCGUCAGCUCGUGUCGUGAGAUGUUGGGUUAAGUCCCGCAACGAGCGCAACCCUCGUUCCAUGUUGCCAGCGCGUAAUGGCGGGGACUCAUGGGAGACUGCCGGGGUCAACUCGGAGGAAGGUGGGGACGACGUCAAAUCAUCAUGCCCCUUAUGUCNUNGGGCUUCACGCAUGCUACAAUGNCCGGUACAAAGGGUUGCGANACUGUGANGUGNAGCUAAUCNNAAAAGCCGGUCUCANUUCGGAUUGGGGUCUGCAACUCGACCCCAUGAAGUCGNANUCGC
RNAcentral lists this ribosomal RNA (939 nucleotides) under Arthrobacter globiformis. RNAcentral's name for it is "bacterial SSU rRNA". It matches the Rfam family "Bacterial small subunit ribosomal RNA", at positions 387 to 1335 of the family's 1533-position model. The record is from RNAcentral. Lineage: Bacteria; Bacillati; Actinomycetota; Actinomycetes; Micrococcales; Micrococcaceae.